Hypomesus transpacificus is the source of this 4010-nucleotide long non-coding RNA. RefSeq lists it as uncharacterized. The transcript has 6 exons. The record is from RefSeq and is a predicted model, not a curated record. NCBI's taxonomy places the organism in Eukaryota, Metazoa, Chordata, Actinopteri, Osmeriformes, Osmeridae.
GGGGGCGUCUUAAUACUUGCCCACUAGGCCUUCCAUAAGGGACGGACCCGAGCAGCCGUCAGCUGUGCAGAGUCAGCCCCGUCUGCUGCCGUCGAAGUCGGGAGGAACAGCUACUGUAGAGUCAGCCCCGUCUGCUGCCGUCGAGGUCGGGAGGAACAGCUACAGCAGUCCCCGGGAGCAGAGACAGCCCUCAGUGUUCUUAAUAACUUUUGUGGGAAUCAAGUUCCUGUCGUGGUCGGGACGCAGGAAUUGACAACCCCAACACCUUAUAUUUCUCAUCCCUCGUUGAUUCGGUCCUCCUAAUAGGCAGCCCCCCCCCCUGUCGUAUCCAGUGUUCAGGCAGGAGGUCAAAAUCCGGGAGCAGGUAGCGAUGCAAAGGUACCAACAAGGAUCAGGCAGGACGGAACGAGGUCUUGAACAUACAAGGAUCAUCAACAAAAGGCCAAACAGGAAAUCAGAUCAACGCUCAGAAUGUGACGGUAAACUACACAAGACUUGGCAAGGGACACAAAGGAAUCAGGGGUAUAUAUACAGACCAGCUUGAUGGGUAACCAGACACAGGUGUGUAGGGAUAAGUGGGCAACUCUAUCCAAGGAGUGGGCGUGCACAACAGAUAGGCAGAAACAGAACAAACCAACUAGACAGUAAACGGGGGAAUUUGGGGUCCAGAUUUGAAGCCAUCAGUACUCUGGGGAAGAGGAACGCUGGAUUGUGAGAGUAGUCUUGAUUUGAUUGGUUCCCCCUUCUACUUACCAGCGUGCUAUUGUAGUUAACUCUCCCUGUUUGAUCACCAUGGUUGUAGUGCCACCUCUUGAACACUAGAGUGCAGUAUCGUGGAGUGUCGUAUUAUAUUUCCCCAGUUUGUAGUGUGUUUCUGUGGGUGGAUCAAACAAGCAGGCUGUCAGUGAGGGGGGCCUUCUAUUCCAGACUCCAGUUAUUAGUACCAUGGGCGAUUGGGGAGGACUACCCUUUUGAGAGGGCUGGAGAUACUUGUUUUACUAUUAAAGCAUAUUUGUGUACAUUGGCCUCGAAGGGUUUUCUGUGUUGCCUUGUGCCAAGUUCCAAACCCUGCACUGUGACUGUGACAUGUGUGUGUAUGGGUUUGAAUGUGUGUUUUUUGUACCAACAUUUACAAGCAGGCCCUGUAAAAAUAUCCUGACAUUUCGUAGAGGAAGAUUGUUGUCCUGUUAGAGGAAGCUACAACCCACAUUUCCACGGUUAACACUUUGAAACGUUCAAACUGUACCCAACAUCUGUCUGUUGGCUAAUGUUCUGCAUGCAUGGAUGUAUAGCACAGGUGUGAACACAACAGCACUGCAGUUAUGCUAUAGACUUACUGACUGCAGAUAUACUAACAUAUAACAACACUAACUGUGGGUAUACUGUAAACGAUCACAGAGAUGUGAAGGCUACAGAACAAGAGAGCUACUUAAAGUGUUGCCCUCAUCUUCCUCUUUUCACGGUGCUAGACAUGAGGCAAGACUUGAGGGAAGAUGUGAGGUAAGACGUGAGGUAAGACGUUCUGCGUUUAGAACUGCUCUUCCAUCCAGCUUCCUCACAAGCGCACGACGACAGCAGAGACGAGCCAGUCUGAAACGACGGACCUAGAGCCAUCAUUCUGAUGCUGUAGGUGUUAGAGACCUAGAGCUGUCACUCUGAUGCUGUAGGUGUUAGAGACCUAGAGCUGUCACUCUGAUGCUGUAGGUGUUAGAGACCUAGAGCUGUCACUCUGAUGCUGUAGGUUUUACGGGAUCAUACAAUACUGUAAGUAGUGUUAGUGUUUGAGAGACUAGUCAAGGAGCACUGGAACCAGAGGAAAUACUCCAAGGACAUCUACGCUCCACCAGAGAUGACCCAGAUGGUGAAGUCUGACAGGGGGGAGAUGGAGGAGAUGACUAUCUACGCUAAUGUUGACACCUUCAGAGGAGAUCAGCUGUCAGGUGCUGGGGGUCCAGAGAGGAGUCUCUCCAGAGCUGCAGCAGUGUGUCUGGGGCUGCUGUGUGCUCUCUUACUGGCUGGGGUCGUAGCACUGGGAGUCAUCUUGUCUGUGGAGAGACAACAGCACCAGACCAAGUAUGAUAUCCUGACCAGACAGAGAGACCAGCUGAACACCAGUAACAUCAACCUGACCAGAGAAAGAGAUGACCUUGAGAGGAGGAUAUGCAGAAUUUGUUCACACUACAACCAGAAACCUAGGCAGUGUCUGGUUGGGUCUGACUGAUAACGUUCCACCAACGUUCUACCGUCAGUGGACCUGGGUGGACGGAACACCUCUGGAUCCGUCCAAAACAUACUGGGCAGCAGGGGAACCCAACAUCCCUUCUGGCUCUAGCUGUGUACUACGAUGGUUACCUGAUCAGCUGGCUAACAGAAGCCUGGCUGAUGACUCAUGCUACCAUAACAUGUACUAUGUGUGUGAGAUGUGACCUGUAAUACAUUUCAGGUCACUAUUCUUCCUCGUGCAGUUAAUCAGUUCAGUGUAGGUUUCCUUGACGGCUCUGUUUCAAUCAAACAUUCUUCAUGCUCUUUGGUUAAAAAAAGUCAUUUUAGGUCCUACUUACAUGAUCUUUGUCUUACAGUGAAAACUGUGUACAAUACAUUAAUAAAUUCUAUAUUCUUACUGGUGUCGAAGGAUCCUUAAGGGGCCUUCGUUUGAACAAAGAAAUAAUGAAUGGAAAUGCUUACUAAAUAAUAUGUUUAUUUGCUUAGGAUGUGUUAGAAAUGGCUUGCAUAUGUGUAUUUAGACAGGAUGGAAUAGCAACUGCUUGCAUAUGUGUAUCUUGACAGGAUGUAUUACAAACUUCCUGCCUAAGAUGUGGUAGAGAGAGAUUAGAUUAGAAGAGACGUGUACAGGUUUCCUGUGCACAGAAACAGGCUCCAAGGCCGUAGCCAUGGAGUCAACAUUGGGGGGGACGAAUUGCAAUUCCGACAACGUGCUUGGUUUCCUGUCGUAGCAUAGGACAUUUGUAUUUUUUUUAAUCAAUAUAUUGGGGGGGGGGGAUAUUUUGACCGGAUUUGAAUUUAUUAUGAUUACGGCCUUGUAUAAAUAUGAUGUGUGUCAAUGAAAAACUCACUGUAUCCCUCAACCUCUCACUCUAUCCCUCAACCUCUCGUUGUAUCCCUCAACCUCUCACUCUAUCCCUCAACCUCUCACUGUAUCCCUCAACCUCUCACUGUAUCCCUCAACCUCUCACUGUAUCCCUCAACCUCACUGUAUCCCUCAACCUCUCACUCUAUCCCUCAACCUCUCACUGUAUCCCUCAACCUCUCACUCAAUCCCUCAACCUCUCACUGUAUCCCUCAACCUCUCACUGUAUCCCUCAACCUCUCACUCUAUCCCUCAAUUUCUCACUCUCUACCUCACUCGGACUCUCAGGCUUUUUAGCUUACUCUCUUUUGACUCUUUUGCUGACUUUUUUGCUCACUGUCUGUACAGAGACUUAGAAGCUUACCUCAUUCAAAGGAGAUUUUCUAGUUUUAAGAACUUAGAAUAGUUUAGAAGGUACUCCUUAAAAGGGGAUAUAUGUACUGUAUUGUUUUUUUCUAAUCAAAUAAAAAGUUAAAAGACAGUCGCUGUCCUUCCUCAUUUAAAGAGACUAUUAAAGUUCAAAUAGAAAGGCACAAGACGACAUAAGGAUAGUGGCCCUCCUCCAGAUCUGAGGGACACACCACGCCAAGACAAAGGAUAGCGGCCUUCCUCCAGAUCUGAGGGAUACGCCACGCCAAGACAAAGGAUAGUGGCCCUCCUCCAGAUAUGAGGGACACGCCACGCCAAGACAAAGGAUAGUGGCCCUCCUCCAGAUAUGAGGGACACGCCACGCCAAGACAAAGGAUAGUGGCCCUCCUCCAGAUCUGAGGGACACGCCACGCCAAGACAAAGGAUAGCGGCCCUCCUCCAGAUAUGAGGGACACGCCACGCCAACACAAAGGUGAGUCCUGGGAAUCACGACCAGCCAUGACAUAUAGCACAUAUAGCUGCAAGCAGCCAUGACAUAUAGCACAUAUAGCUG